CAGCUGAAAAACUUGUGAUCUGCCCUAUUAAUGACUUGCAUCAAGUGUGAGUGUUCAAAUGAUGUGGAUGCUUAGAAAAUGAGCAAAGACGUGGGAAGUAUUUGUGUAAAAGAAAUCGAAGCCAGGUAUCUUCUUGAUAUUAAUCACUUGUCAUUGCCAUCACUGCAAAGUCUUUGCAUAUCUGCUGUGGACAUGUGGCACUGUGAUCAUAAGCACUUGGUGUAAACCUGGGGAUGGCAGAGCCAUGGUGCUAGAAUGAGGCUCAAACUCAUCACUGCGCAGAGGACGGUUCCUUUCCUGCUUUCCUGUGUUCCUCCAGCCCCAUACCAAAGGUACUUCCACUGUUCAGCUGGUUGUUGGCUUACUUGGCUAGAAAGGGAAGGGCAGGAGAUGCCAGUGACCAUCUUGCUUGCACCCUGUCCUGCCGUUCAUUUAUCUCUGUGGAGUAGUUUGGAUAUGGGAAGUCUUUGCUGGGACAUUCCUUCUGGCUCUUGAUGACAGACCAUGGCUGUCCUGUUUUCUGGCUGGUAGCUGGUUGGUUACAUUGACAGAUGUUGCAAUGAUUCUUUUGGCAAUAUUCUGUUGUGCUGACUGUUCAAACAGGAAAUUCAUCUUUUAGUAUUUGCACAUGUUAAAUGUUUGCUUUAGUAGGAAUCGCUCUGACAGCAGGCUGGUCAAACAGUGUAUUUUUGGAGCGGCAACUUCUGGAAUUCUCAAAGUCCUCAUCGUCCCAUAGAUCUGCUGGGGCUUGGCUUGGAGCCCCGUUCUCUGAAAUACCGCAGAACUGGCUUCUGAGGAGAGGCGACGUGAGCUGCUGAGCUCCAGGUUGCUGCUGUUUCCCUCCCUCAGGAUGACGUGUUCCUGCAUGUGUUGGAAGGCACCUGGCUCAGAUCAUGCCGUGGUGUGGCAAUCUGGGACACCCAGGCAGGUUUGCUGUGUGGUGGAGUCCAUGCUGCCUCCAUCCUCUCUUCGGUCUCCGAAUGCCUGGCUUAUCGAGGUGGCCUCUUGUCUCAUGCUCAUGGAAGAGAACAGGAAGGUGGCUGUGGCUGUGCUGCAUGUGAGACAGUGAGGACGUGCUCAGGAAGCAUGGAACAAGGACUGGCUGGAGAACUUAGUCUGAUGAAGCAAGUUUUCAUCUAAAUCUACUUGUCUGAUGAUAAGCCCCAUUUCAGGAAAAAUCGAACAGUGAGGAGAACAUGCUCAGAGGAGUUGGAUUACAGCUUACAGUGUAUUUGAACCCAAAGUUACACAAUUUCAUGAAGAACUGCGUGCAGAAAUGGUUUCUGAUUUUGCUUACAACGGCUGAGAGUUUGUAAGAGAUUUGGAGGGACAUAACAUUUAUUUCCUACUUCCCUGAGCUUCAGUCCAGGCCUUGGAAAAACCCAUCUGACAGAGAUGCUGCUGGCAGGUACUCUGCCAUGGAAGCUCCUGGAAUACUUGGCUGCGACACGUCGUGAGGACAUGGCGGUGACAGCUCAACGCUGACCAGACUUCUUCAAUCAAUACGCAACGCCAUUUAAAUAGCAGAGGAGCCCAAUCAAAAGGUGUUGCUCAAAACUGUGCUUCCAAGGCUGAACCAAUAAAUUAAUUCUUGACAUUGCAUGAAGCAGUCAUAUUUAACUCUGCAUCUCCAUUUCUAUGGUAAUUUUUGAACUCAAAGAUUGGGUUUGAGAAUUUCAUAUGUAUUAAAUGUCUGUGUAAGCUCUGCUUACCCACUUGGCACAAGGUGGUUGUUUCCGCAUGGAUCAGAAUUUAUACUUCCCAUUAAGCCAAAGUAAUUUCUAUUCAUGUUGUCACAUGAAGUUGGGUCCUUUGGUGAUCCUCUAAUUCCAAAAGCCCAGUUGUUAAGUAAGGUUUGAUUGAAGGAGUCUCUUUUUUAAGUCAAGCUUAUGGUAAUGUUAGAGAACACUAAGAGAGCAGAACUGCACCGUACUGAAGGAUGUGGGGUGUCUCAAAUUGCUGCUAGAGAAAAAUACAUUCUGAGGCAAUGUGUAAAGCUUUUAAUUUGAAACAUGCUCUGGUGUUCAAGUCCCCCCAAGCAAUGAUGUACUUGGCUCUUCAGCUACUAACUAGAGGAGUACGUGCAUGACUCUGAGUGUGGCACCAGGAGACACCUUCCUACUCUGAUUGCUGAAGUAUUUCAGGCUGCAGUACCAUGUGGCAAACUGCAAAAUCCUUUUCACCAUCCACUGUUCCUGCUGCAAGUAUUCUUUAUUAUAUUUUGCCUGUGAUAGAAGAAACAUUUUCAUCUUUACAGCAUGAUUAUUUCUGUAGGGUUCAACAGCUUUCCCCAUUGCUCUUUAUCUGGAAUCACAUUGUGCAGCAUCAUUUAGUUGUGGUGAAGAUAACAACAUUAUAUGCUCUGAAAGGACAGCUAGAUGAAUGCUACCCCCCUCAGGUAAACUGCUUUUGUGCAUGUGCAAUUGUAAAUGGUGGAAAAGAAUGCCUUUCUGAAUUGUUUAUAACUCUACUUUUUGCAGCAAAACUGCAUUUAGCUCACCACAACUAAGUGCACAGUUAGUAGAAGGAAUGCUCUGCCUAAGUAUCUGUUCAAACAUUUUGGGAAGCCUCCAUGUAUUUGAUUAAACCUUUCAGUAGCCAGCAAAGCUCCUCUUGAAUGCAUCUGCAGCAAAACAUUUGGACUGGUAUGCAGUGCUGCAGCUUAAUUUGGUUAAUCCUAAACCAACACUUCAGUAAUAAGCAAAUUUCUGAGUUAACUGUCAGAUCAGUCUUCAGCUAUCUAUUGGUGGUGUACACUGAGGUGCUUUUCUGAGGCACUGGUGUUUUGAUUUUCAUCUACCUAUAUGAGAUGAUGAAGUGUCCCUCUUUGCAUUUUUUCUUUUUCUUUUUUUUUAAUUGGGGAAUUUGCAUUCAGGAAAAUUACACAACUCUCCGAAAAGGAACAGGUGUUCAUAGCAGUUGGAAGAGGUCUAUAUCUUCCAUCACAGAUCUGGCUUCUUCCUCAACUCAUUUGCUCCAGGAAGGUUUUAAAACUGUCUUUUGUAAGAGGAAAUAUACUGUCUUGUACUGAACAGAGGCAGAGCUAAUUUAUUCUAACUUGGUAUUCAUCUGAAGAUGUUUCCUUGGGAAUUGUAGCUAGAGAGUCAGGUAACAUGGAGAGAUGGAUUGGGACCUGUCCUUUACAAUUUAUUAUUGCUGUUUCUUCUAUGAAAGUAAUGAAAAAGUCCCUCCCAUAAUUACCUUAUAAUGAAUGUCUCAUUCCUUUGCAGAAACCAGUAUGCAAUGAUUAUUUCUUAAAUGCUCUGAUUGCUUCUCUGACCCCUAGAAAACGGAUGCAGUAUCAUCAGGAUCACUAGCAGACAUGGAAGGCAGCUCUGUUUGCACAGAAGUGGAACAUGCUUGGUUCCAUGAGCGUAUACUACUGGAUCACGUCAAGCUUUUGGUCUCCCAGAACCCCCACGUCCUUGUCCACAGGGCUGCUCUCAAGGAAAUCUUCUCAGUCUGUACACACAUCUGGGAUUGCUCUGACCCAAGUGCAACAGCUUGCACUUGGCCUUGUUGAACCUUGUAGGUUCACAUGGGCUCACUUUCCAAGCAUUUCCAGGUCCCUCUGGACGGGACCUUCCUCUGUUGCACCACUGCAACACUCAACUUGGUGUUGUCUACACAUAGCCUGAACAAGAUCAGAUCAGGUGAGCAUUUCAGAGCACAGCCAGUCCCACAGCACUGACAUCCCCUUCACUCCUUGUGUCACUGGGGUCUUCUGAAGGCUUCUCCCAAGGAAAGCCUUUAAGUGAAUUUCCUGCUGCUGCUCAUUAAUGUUAUGCUAGUUUUAAUUUCUUCCUUGUCUUGUAUCACUAAUCAAGAAGUAAUUGAAUUAGCUGAAAAGAAGGAUAAGACAAAUUAGCUAAGAAGAAUUAACUGUGUGUACCCGAGGUCAGCAGGCUCCUAGAAAAUUCAAGGUGAGAAUUAGUUGGACUAUAACAGAUUUAGCAGGAAGUUACUAAGUUCUCUGGAGAACCAAGAUGCAGAAAUACAAAUGACAGCCUAACCAUGAAAACCUAGGUAUAUCUGAAAGUGUUUGAGCAAUUCCUUUCUAUUUCAAGACAGGAGAGCAAAGGACUGCACUUACAUUCUUUCCAACGGCUUUGUUUAAUGAAGGGAAUUUCCCUGAAGUUUGACUUUUCAUCCUUGUGUGAAUCGGCUUUGCCAGGAAGAUAUUUCUCCUUCUGUAUUGAUAUUAAGGCAGUAAAUUGUCUGUCCCUGUGUUCACUUGCUCAACUUUUUUAUUUUUUUUUUCAUGGUUGCUCUGUAAUUUAAGUUCAUCUUUCAUGAAAACCAUAUGUUGGAUUAAAGACAGGGUAUUAUUUUCAUGCAUUGUAAUAUACUCUGUUACCUCCUCCAUUACAGUGCCAUGUUAAAGUAAUUAUUAUUCCACGUGUCACUGUGAAUGCGUUUAAGAUUCUUUAGGUCUUCUCUAGCAGGAGCUGAUUUCCACUCCUGAUUAACUGCUCUCAUUCCUUUUAUAUGUCGGAACUAGCCAAGCAUAAGCUUAUAAUUAUUUUACAGGAAGACUUUUAGAAAUAUGAAAAAGUCUUUCUGAAAUAAUUAGAAAACGAAUUAGAUUACAAUUAGGAUGAAAAUCAUAAGCUAAUGGCAGUAAUUAACUUGACAAAACCUAAAUAAACAUAACUAAGUAAUGAUAUAAAGAAAGGAAGUUUCAGUCUUGAACAGAAAUGCCUUAAGACAGGUAAAAGAAGCAGUUUAUACAAUUGCAAUUGUUUGAUCAUUGUAUUUGCUCUUUUGGAGAAAGGUUGAAACUAGUUGGCUAUAAAAUAAGUUUAUGAACUUAUUUUUUUCUAGCAGGGCUAAACAUUGCACUAAAGGCAUAGAAAGAGGCCCCAUUCGAUAACCUUAUCACUGAUACUCUCUUUUCACCAAACCUCAGCUGUAGCCGUAUUAAAUAAAAGCACAGAAAAUGGUAUAGUAACCUCACCAUCUUCUGUGCAGCUUAGUUUGUGUUCUGCAGUUGGAGCUGAAAAUACGUUGCUUCAAAUUGUGAGUUAAGUCGCUGAAAUGAGAUGGGACCCCUGCAGCCUAAUCCAUAGGAACCAGCCAAUUCUUUUGAGUUCCCUGUGUUUGAUUAGUUGUACUGUAAUUAAAGAAAUUACCAAUAGUCCGCUGUCUGGAUGUGAUUAACUCACCAAGUGCUCAUACCUAUAUUCCUUAAGCAUCUCCAAAUAAUUUAGGGCCUCAUUUAUGUUCCUUAAUAAGGAAAUAAAUGAAAAUCGCCCACAGCCUUAAUACAGUGGCUUGUGCUACAAGCUGUUCUAUCUUGUGCCUCGGUGAUGCCUGCUCAAUUGUUUCUGAUUAUGCUGCAUUGUAAUUAAAGAACCAGAAAUGCUAUUUGCCUGAAUGAGAACAUGCUGCCCAGUACAGGAGGGAGGGAAAGAAAUCAGAUAAUGACGAGAGCCUUCUAAGCAAAUCAAACCCAGAAUGUCAAUGCUGCACAUAGACAUGGAGCUGUGGAUAGGACUGCUUGAGCUGCUGGUAAAUUUCUCCUGGGCUCUUCAGAAUUGGAGUUUUUGAUGAUAGUGACUUUUGUUCUUAAAAAGAAAUGCAGGUCGGGUUGUUUUUGAAGAGCAGCAAAAGGAUGCAUUCACGCUUGCUGCUGCUGUCCCACUGCCUCUGAGCCCUGUUGCUCCCUGAGCUUCGUGCUUUCUUUCUAACCAUGCCUACUGGAAGGUGUUGGGAAAAAUUCAAGCAUGCACCUCCCAAGAGCUGGGCAGCACCUGGGGACAGCACGGGGAUGCAGCUGCAGAUCUGCUUGGUCCCUGCCGAGUGCUGGCUUUCACACAGCCUGCUCCCUGCCAGGACAACCCGACAGCAACAGCAUCGGUUGUGUGAGAAGUAACCUGAUUUUCUCCAGGAUGGGGCAGAGCAGGGCUCGUGGAAGGGGGCAAAUGAAGAAGGGCUGACGGGAUGUUUUUGUUUUGUCAGUCAGAUGUGUUCUGAGAAUAUUCCCAUGUGUUCUCACAGUAACUGAAUGUUUGUGUAGGUUGCACCCUGAGCUGCCUGCACAUCGUUGAGGAGAUGUGGUUCCACGCUGAUCCAACACUCCUACAAGUCUAUCACAUAGCUGCUUCUACCCGCAGAAUGAGGAGAAUAGGGAGUUAAUCUUCUGUAAUGUGAACAUUAAUGCAAAUCACAGAAUGGCCUGGGUUGAAAAGGACCUCAAUGCUCAUCCAGUUCC
Non-coding RNA from Meleagris gallopavo (turkey), 6214 nucleotides. NCBI's taxonomy places the organism in Eukaryota, Metazoa, Chordata, Aves, Galliformes, Phasianidae. The record is from RefSeq and is a predicted model, not a curated record.